CGAUGACUUUGAUAAACGCUGCAUGUAUGCCGCAUUCGGAUUGCGGCGACUCCUACAUGAGACGGGUUUGACGCCUGUGAUCGUUGGC
This 88-nucleotide transfer RNA is filed under the name Bordetella bronchiseptica 7E71. RNAcentral's name for it is "tRNA-Pro". The record is from RNAcentral. Lineage: Bacteria; Pseudomonadati; Pseudomonadota; Betaproteobacteria; Burkholderiales; Alcaligenaceae.